RNAcentral lists this ribosomal RNA (459 nucleotides) under uncultured bacterium. RNAcentral describes it as "partial 16S ribosomal RNA". It matches the Rfam family "Bacterial small subunit ribosomal RNA", at positions 338 to 795 of the family's 1533-position model. The record is from RNAcentral.
CCUACGGGUGGCAGCAGUGAGGAAUAUUGGUCAAUGGGAGAGAUCCUGAACCAGCCAAGUCGCGUGAGGGAAGACGGCCCUAUGGGUUGUAAACCUCUUUUGUCGGAGAACAAAACCCGGGACGUGUCCCGUUCUGCGUGUACCCGAAGAAAAAGCAUCGGCUAACUCCGUGCCAGCAGCCGCGGUAAUACGGAGGAUGCGAGCGUUAUCCGGAUUUAUUGGGUUUAAAGGGUGCGUAGACGGUAUGUUAAGUCAGCGGUAAAAUUGCGGGGCUCAACCCCGUCGAGCCGUUGAAACUGGCAGUCUUGAGUUGGCGAGAAGUACGCGGAAUGCGUGGUGUAGCGGUGAAAUGCAUAGAUAUCGCGCAGAACUCCGAUUGCGAAGGCAGCGUACCGGCGCGAGACUGACGCUGAUGCACGAAAGUGUGGGUAUCGAACAGGAUUAGAUACCCUUGUAGUC